GAUGAACGCUGGCGGCGUGCCUAAUACAUGCAAGUCGAGUGAACGGACGAGAAGCUUGCUUCUCUGAUGUUAGCGGCGGACGGGUGAGUAACACGUGGAUAACCUACCUAUAAGACUGGGAUAACUUCGGGAAACCGGAGCUAAUACCGGAUAAUAUUUUGAACCGCAUGGUUCAAAAGUGAAAGACGGUCUUGCUGUCACUUAUAGAUGGAUCCGCGCUGCAUUAGCUAGUUGGUAAGGUAACGGCUUACCAAGGCAACGAUGCAUAGCCGACCUGAGAGGGUGAUCGGCCACACUGGAACUGAGACACGGUCCAGACUCCUACGGGAGGCAGCAGUAGGGAAUCUUCCGCAAUGGGCGAAAGCCUGACGGAGCAACGCCGCGUGAGUGAUGAAGGUCUUCGGAUCGUAAAACUCUGUUAUUAGGGAAGAACAUACGUGUAAGUAACUGUGCACAUCUUGACGGUACCUAAUCAGAAAGCCACGGCUAACUACGUG
This 497-nucleotide ribosomal RNA is filed under the name uncultured bacterium. RNAcentral's name for it is "partial 16S ribosomal RNA". It matches the Rfam family "Bacterial small subunit ribosomal RNA", at positions 28 to 507 of the family's 1533-position model. The record is from RNAcentral.